ACAGAGGUGACAGGUGGUGCAUGGUUGUCGUCAGCUCGUGUCGUGAGAUGUUGGGUUAAGUCCCGCAACGAGCGCAACCCCUAUUGUUAGUUGCCAUCAUUUAGUUGGGCACUCUAGCGAGACUGCCGGUAAUAAACCGGAGGAAGGUGGGGAUGACGUCAAAUCAUCAUGCCCCUUAUGACCUGGGCUACACACGUGCUACAAUGGCUGGUACAACGAGUCGCAAGCCGGUGACGGCAAGCUAAUCUCUUAAAGCCAGUCUCAGUUCGGAUUGUAGGCUGCAACUCGCCUACAUGAAGUCGGAAUCGCUAGUAAUCGCGG
This 321-nucleotide ribosomal RNA is filed under the name Klebsiella pneumoniae. RNAcentral's name for it is "bacterial SSU rRNA". It matches the Rfam family "Bacterial small subunit ribosomal RNA", at positions 1025 to 1347 of the family's 1533-position model. The record is from RNAcentral. Lineage: Bacteria; Pseudomonadati; Pseudomonadota; Gammaproteobacteria; Enterobacterales; Enterobacteriaceae.